GCACAUGCUGUGAGCUCGAUGAGUAGGGCGGGACACGUGGUAUCCUGUCUGAAUAUGGGGGGACCAUCCUCCAAGGCUAAAUACUCCUGACUGACCGAUAGUGAACCAGUACCGUGAGGGAAAGGCGAAAAGAACCCCGGCGAGGGGAGUGAAAAAGAACCUGAAACCGUGUACGUACAAGCAGUGGGAGCCUCUUUUAUGGGGUGACUGCGUACCUUUUGUAUAAUGGGUCAGCGACUUAUAUUCUGUAGCAAGGUUAACCGAAUAGGGGAGCCGAAGGGAAACCGAGUCUUAACUGGGCGUUAAGUUGCAGGGUAUAGACCCGAAACCCGGUGAUCUAGCCAUGGGCAGGUUGAAGGUUGGGUAACACUAACUGGAGGACCGAACCGACUAAUGUUGAAAAAUUAGCGGAUGACUUGUGGCUGGGGGUGAAAGGCCAAUCAAACCGGGAGAUAGCUGGUUCUCCCCGAAAGCUAUUUAGGUAGCGCCUCGUGAAUUCAUCUCCGGGGGUAGAGCACUGUUUCGGCAAGGGGGUCAUCCCGACUUACCAACCCGAUGCAAACUGCGAAUACCGGAGAAUGUUAUCACGGGAGACACACGGCGGGUGCUAACGUCCGUCGUGAAGAGGGAAACAACCCAGACCGCCAGCUAAGGUCCCAAAGUCAUGGUUAAGUGGGAAACGAUGUGGGAAGGCCCAGACAGCCAGGAUGUUGGCUUAGAAGCAGCCAUCAUUUAAAGAAAGCGUAAUAGCUCACUGGUCGAGUCGGCCUGCGCGGAAGAUGUAACGGGGCUAAACCAUGCACCGAAGCUGCGGCAGCGACGCUUAUGCGUUGUUGGGUAGGGGAGCGUUCUGUAAGCCUGUGAAGGUGUACUGUGAGGUAUGCUGGAGGUAUCAGAAGUGCGAAUGCUGACAUAAGUAACGAUAAAGCGGGUGAAAAGCCCGCUCGCCGGAAGACCAAGGGUUCCUGUCCAACGUUAAUCGGGGCAGGGUGAGUCGACCCCUAAGGCGAGGCCGAAAGGCGUAGUCGAUGGGAAACAGGUUAAUAUUCCUGUACUUGGUGUUACUGCGAAGGGGGGACGGAGAAGGCUAUGUUGGCCGGGCGACGGUUGUCCCGGUUUAAGCGUGUAGGCUGGUUUUCCAGGCAAAUCCGGAAAAUCAAGGCUGAGGCGUGAUGACGAGGCACUACGGUGCUGAAGCAACAAAUGCCCUGCUUCCAGGAAAAGCCUCUAAGCAUCAGGUAACAUCAAAUCGUACCCCAAACCGACACAGGUGGUCAGGUAGAGAAUACCAAGGCGCUUGAGAGAACUCGGGUGAAGGAACUAGGCAAAAUGGUGCCGUAACUUCGGGAGAAGGCACGCUGAUAUGUAGGUGAAGUCCCUCGCGGAUGGAGCUGAAAUCAGUCGAAGAUACCAGCUGGCUGCAACUGUUUAUUAAAAACACAGCACUGUGCAAACACGAAAGUGGACGUAUACGGUGUGACGCCUGCCCGGUGCCGGAAGGUUAAUUGAUGGGGUUAGCGCAAGCGAAGCUCUUGAUCGAAGCCCCGGUAAACGGCGGCCGUAACUAUAACGGUCCUAAGGUAGCGAAAUUCCUUGUCGGGUAAGUUCCGACCUGCACGAAUGGCGUAAUGAUGGCCAGGCUGUCUCCACCCGAGACUCAGUGAAAUUGAACUCGCUGUGAAGAUGCAGUGUACCCGCGGCAAGACGGAAAGACCCCGUGAACCUUUACUAUAGCUUGACACUGAACAUUGAGCCUUGAUGUGUAGGAUAGGUGGGAGGCUUUGAAGUGUGGACGCCAGUCUGCAUGGAGCCGACCUUGAAAUACCACCCUUUAAUGUUUGAUGUUCUAACGUGGACCCGUAAUCCGGGUUGCGGACAGUGUCUGGUGGGUAGUUUGACUGGGGCGGUCUCCUCCUAAAGAGUAACGGAGGAGCACGAAGGUUGGCUAAUCCUGGUCGGACAUCAGGAGGUUAGUGCAAUGGCAUAAGCCAGCUUGACUGCGAGCGUGACGGCGCGAGCAGGUGCGAAAGCAGGUCAUAGUGAUCCGGUGGUUCUGAAUGGAAGGGCCAUCGCUCAACGGAUAAAAGGUACUCCGGGGAUAACAGGCUGAUACCGCCCAAGAGUUCAUAUCGACGGCGGUGUUUGGCACCUCGAUGUCGGCUCAUCACAUCCUGGGGCUGAAGUAGGUCCCAAGGGUAUGGCUGUUCGCCAUUUAAAGUGGUACGCGAGCUGGGUUUAGAACGUCGUGAGACAGUUCGGUCCCUAUCUGCCGUGGGCGCUGGAGAACUGAGGGGGGCUGCUCCUAGUACGAGAGGACCGGAGUGGACGCAUCACUGGUGUUCGGGUUGUCAUGCCAAUGGCACUGCCCGGUAGCUAAAUGCGGAAGAGAUAAGUGCUGAAAGCAUCUAAGCACGAAACUUGCCCCGAGAUGAGUUCUCCCUGACUCCUUGAGAGUCCUGAAGGAACGUUGAAGACGACGACGUUGAUAGGCCGGAUGUGUAAGCGCAGCGAUGCGUUGAGCUAACCGGUACUAAUGAACCGUGAGGCUUAACCUU
RNAcentral lists this ribosomal RNA (2555 nucleotides) under Escherichia coli. Its description in RNAcentral is "partial 23S ribosomal RNA". It matches the Rfam family "Bacterial large subunit ribosomal RNA", at positions 390 to 2925 of the family's 2925-position model. The record is from RNAcentral. Lineage: Bacteria; Pseudomonadati; Pseudomonadota; Gammaproteobacteria; Enterobacterales; Enterobacteriaceae.